AUUUUACAGGAUAAUACAGCGGUGUUUCCUCCUGCUUACAAAGUUAGAAAUCGCAGAGACACAUUUCUUGGUCCUAAGGGUGAAAUGCAGGAAUUUCUGGAGGGGCUAGUCGAUGCAAAUGAUGUUCCAACAUAUGUGAAAGGACAUCCCCUUGGACAACCUGCGAUAACAGACUCUCAUCCUGAUUGGGAUUACUAUGCUUGGAUAGUUCGCGCCGCGGAAGCUCCUGACUUUGGCUGCCCUGAUUAUGAAUCUGAUUAUUACUCUGAUUAGGACUCUAGUUACUAUUAAAUCAAGAUGGUUCAUGGUUUUCCCAUAAGUAAAUCUCUUGUUAGCAGCAGUAAGUUUUUAUGUAAUGGCGUGGUCUUAUGUUUUUUGCAAGUUGCUUGUCUUUGUGGUUUUAUGUGCCUAUGGGUGACUAAUGAUAUAACUAUGUUUACCUAA
Molecule: long non-coding RNA, 444 nt
Organism: Lycium ferocissimum
Lineage: Eukaryota; Viridiplantae; Streptophyta; Magnoliopsida; Solanales; Solanaceae
Exons: 2
Source: RefSeq, a predicted model, not a curated record